UAGGUGUGCCCAGGAUAUACUGGAGUGA
This 28-nucleotide non-coding RNA is filed under the name Homo sapiens (human). The record is from RNAcentral. Lineage: Eukaryota; Metazoa; Chordata; Mammalia; Primates; Hominidae.